Molecule: long non-coding RNA, 521 nt
Filed under: Trifolium pratense (red clover)
Lineage: Eukaryota; Viridiplantae; Streptophyta; Magnoliopsida; Fabales; Fabaceae
Description: long non-coding RNA (TPRA_LNC007406)
Source: RNAcentral
UGAGAUUUGAAAACCCAAGUUCAAAUGCCUAUUUGUAACUUCAAGCAAAAUAUGUGCAAUAUGAAACCUGCAAGUAUUUCACUUGCAGUUAAGCAUCUAAAAAGGGUGAAUGAUUUAAAAUUGGAAGCUUAUAACAAUGUAGGAUAAUCAUUAACAUUGUAUCAAGAUAGAAAGUUCACCCAUGUUACCUGUUAACCACAUAUCAUCACGAAGGUCACAUUCACUUGAUAUAUUUGUUCUUGCUAUUCAUUUCCACGCUCUUAGUUUGUGAAUUACAUCCAACAUUAUUCUAACUUCAACAUAAUAUGUUUUGCAAAGAAUUUUACGACACCACUUUGUCUGCACUUGAGAAACCAAAAUAAGAGAUUAAGGGUAUAUAGCAAAGUAUGAUUUACCAAGAUAAUUGGGAAAACCAUAUACAAAAAUAGACUACACGAUUAAAAGAAAAAUAGAGGAUUUUGAAUAUUAACAUUCUCAAGUAUAAAUGCAACAAAAAGUGAGUUCUAGAUAUGAUUAUGAAC